AGACCCGAAACCCGGUGAUCUAGCCAUGGGCAGGUUGAAGGUUGGGUAACACUAACUGGAGGACCGAACCGACUAAUGUUGAAAAAUUAGCGGAUGACUUGUGGCUGGGGGUGAAAGGCCAAUCAAACCGGGAGAUAGCUGGUUCUCCCCGAAAGCUAUUUAGGUAGCGCCUCGUGAAUUCAUCUCCGGGGGUAGAGCACUGUUUCGGCAAGGGGGUCAUCCCGACUUACCAACCCGAUGCAAACUGCGAAUACCGGAGAAUGUUAUCACGGGAGACACACGGCGGGUGCUAACGUCCGUCGUGAAGAGGGAAACAACCCAGACCGCCAGCUAAGGUCCCAAAGUCAUGGUUAAGUGGGAAACGAUGUGGGAAGGCCCAGACAGCCAGGAUGUUGGCUUAGAAGCAGCCAUCAUUUAAAGAAAGCGUAAUAGCUCACUGGUCGAGUCGGCCUGCGCGGAAGAUGUAACGGGGCUAAACCAUGCACCGAAGCUGCGGCAGCGACACUGUGUGUUGUUAGGUAGGGGAGCGUUCUGUAAGCCUGUGAAGGUGUGCUGUGAGGCAUGCUGGAGGUAUCAGAAGUGCGAAUGCUGACAUAAGUAACGAUAAAGCGGGUGAAAAGCCCGCUCGCCGGAAGACCAAGGGUUCCUGUCCAACGUUAAUCGGGGCAGGGUGAGUCGACCCCUAAGGCGAGGCCGAAAGGCGUAGUCGAUGGGAAACAGGUUAAUAUUCCUGUACUUGGUGUUACUGCGAAGGGGGGACGGAGAAGGCUAUGUUGGCCGGGCGACGGUUGUCCCGGUUUAAGCGUGUAGGCUGGUUUUCCAGGCAAAUCCGGAAAAUCAAGGCUGAGGCGUGAUGACGAGGCACUACGGUGCUGAAGCAACAAAUGCCCUGCUUCCAGGAAAAGCCUCUAAGCAUCAGGUAACAUCAAAUCGUACCCCAAACCGACACAGGUGGUCAGGUAGAGAAUACCAAGGCGCUUGAGAGAACUCGGGUGAAGGAACUAGGCAAAAUGGUGCCGUAACUUCGGGAGAAGGCACGCUGAUAUGUAGGUGAAGUCCCUCGCGGAUGGAGCUGAAAUCAGUCGAAGAUACCAGCUGGCUGCAACUGUUUAUUAAAAACACAGCACUGUGCAAACACGAAAGUGGACGUAUACGGUGUGACGCCUGCCCGGUGCCGGAAGGUUAAUUGAUGGGGUCAGCGCAAGCGAAGCUCUUGAUCGAAGCCCCGGUAAACGGCGGCCGUAACUAUAACGGUCCUAAGGUAGCGAAAUUCCUUGUCGGGUAAGUUCCGACCUGCACGAAUGGCGUAAUGAUGGCCAGGCUGUCUCCACCCGAGACUCAGUGAAAUUGAACUCGCUGUGAAGAUGCAGUGUACCCGCGGCAAGACGGAAAGACCCCGUGAACCUUUACUAUAGCUUGACACUGAACAUUGAGCCUUGAUGUGUAGGAUAGGUGGGAGGCUUUGAAGUG
RNAcentral lists this ribosomal RNA (1470 nucleotides) under Escherichia coli. RNAcentral's name for it is "partial 23S ribosomal RNA". It matches the Rfam family "Bacterial large subunit ribosomal RNA", at positions 711 to 2164 of the family's 2925-position model. The record is from RNAcentral. Lineage: Bacteria; Pseudomonadati; Pseudomonadota; Gammaproteobacteria; Enterobacterales; Enterobacteriaceae.